GAUGAACGCUGACAGAAUGCUUAACACAUGCAAGUCAACUUGAACUUCGGUUUGGGUGGCGGACGGGUGAGUAACGCGUAAAGAACUUGCCUCACAGAUAGGGACAACAUUUGGAAACGAAUGCUAAUACCUGAUAUUAUGAUUUUAGGGCAUCCUAGGAUUAUGAAAGCUAUAUGCGCUGUGAGAGAGCUUUGCGUCCCAUUAGCUAGUUGGAGAGGUAACGGCUCACCAAGGCGAUGAUGGGUAGCCGGCCUGAGAGGGUGAUCGGCCACAAGGGGACUGAGACACGGCCCUUACUCCUACGGGAGGCAGCAGUGGGGAAUAUUGGACAAUGGACCAAGAGUCUGAUCCAGCAAUUCUGUGUGCACGAUGAAGUUUUUCGGAAUGUAAAGUGCUUUCAGUUGGGAAGAAAAAAAUGACGGUACCAACAGAAGAAGUGACGGCUAAAUACG
RNAcentral lists this ribosomal RNA (452 nucleotides) under uncultured bacterium. RNAcentral describes it as "partial 16S ribosomal RNA". It matches the Rfam family "Bacterial small subunit ribosomal RNA", at positions 28 to 505 of the family's 1533-position model. The record is from RNAcentral.